AGCAGCCGCGGUAAUUCCAGCUCCAAUAGCGUAUAUUAAAGUUGUUGCAGUUAAAAAGCUCGUAGUUGAAUUUCGGGAUUGGCGCAUCGGUCGUGCCUUACGGGGUAUGAACUGGUGCAGUCAAUUUCUCACCUUCUGGAGAACCGCGAUGUCCUUAAUUGGGUGCCGCGGGGAACCAGGACCUUUACUUUGAAAAAAUUAGAGUGUUUAAAGCAGGCAUUUUUGCUUGAAUACAUUAGCAUGGAAUAAUAAAAUAGGACGGCAUGGUUCUAUUUUGUUGGUUUCUAGGACCACCGUAAUGAUUAAUAGGGAUAGUUGGGGGCAUUAGUAUUCAAUUGUCAGAGGUGAAAUUCUUGGAUUUUAUUGAAGACUAACUACUGCGAAAGCAUUUGCCAAGGAUGUUUUCAUUAAUCAAGAACGAAAGUUAGGGGAUCGAAGACGAUCAGAUACCGUCGUAGUCUUAACCAUAAACUAUGCCGACUAGGAAUCAGACGAUGUUAAUUUUUAAUGUACUCGUUUG
This 520-nucleotide ribosomal RNA is filed under the name uncultured Entrophospora. RNAcentral describes it as "SSU rRNA". It matches the Rfam family "Eukaryotic small subunit ribosomal RNA", at positions 569 to 1082 of the family's 1831-position model. Lineage: Eukaryota; Fungi; Glomeromycota; Glomeromycetes; Entrophosporales; Entrophosporaceae. The record is from RNAcentral.